GUCAGAGGCCGUAGCGCGGUGGUCCCACCUGACCCCAUGCCGAACUCAGAAGUGAAACGCCGUAGCGCCGAUGGUAGUGUGGGGUCUCCCCAUGCGAGAGUAGGGAACUGCCAGGC
This 116-nucleotide ribosomal RNA is filed under the name Escherichia coli. The record is from RNAcentral. Lineage: Bacteria; Pseudomonadati; Pseudomonadota; Gammaproteobacteria; Enterobacterales; Enterobacteriaceae.